CUCAUCAUGGGAGGAGAGUGGGAACCGUGGGAGGCAAGUAGGGAGGAGCCUCCCCCAUCACCGCUGCUAACAUUUCAUCAGUCCUAGGAUCGAACUGCACCAUGGAGAUGUCUGGGAACUGCAGCCCAGCCAUCUGGCUGGGAGGAAGAGGAUAUGGGAUAGUUGAGUCAUGGUGGGCUGUCUGCUUCCUCAGCUGGAGUUGAAUCUGACCAUAGACUUGGUGUUCUGUCCCCCCCCCCCCCAGCCCCCCGCCUCAGAGGCUAUAAAGGCCUCUAACACAGGUACUUGAAUCACAUCUGCCUUUAGUCCUGAUCCUGUCUCCAGACAAGGGAACACAUGAAUUUUAGCCAGAUGAGGAAUUGUGUAGACAUGGUUUACGAACCUUGGAUCUCCUUAUUGCAAGAACAGACGAUGAAGAGGAACAGACACAGCCGGUGUCUUCCAAUCUGCAUCGCCAGCCUUGGUCUCUGCUGAACGCUCGGUGUGUGGCAGUCCAGAUCACACCUAGCAGGCAUCCGUCUUUAUCCACAGCUCAGUGUCUGAAGACAGAUUCACUCUUCCCUCUUCUCCUCCAACCAGAUCCAGGUCAGGUGUUGCCUACUUGGGAAAUGGCGACAUUUUGCUAGUCUCUAGGAAACAUGCUAAAUAAUUUUCAAAGAAGUGAGAGGAUUUAGAACUUGUUUACUUCCUGGAACUGAGAACACAGGAGAGUCCCUAAGAUGGAGAUCGCAGAGUCAAGAUUAUCAGUGAAAGGACCUUAACCUACAUCUUUCUGCAGGCCAGGAAACCUGGGCAUCUCUGUCCAUUGAUUCCCAGAGUGGACUUGAAUUUAUCAGGACACAGAAGCUUAGAGACUUCAGACAGAAGGUAGAAUGUGAAUCAUGGAGCCACCGGUGCUCAGAGCUACCCUCCAAACCAAGGGAAAUGACAAGAAGUCGGCAGACCUCUCAAGAUAAGGCAGUGCAGAAGAGUUUUAAUCUGCAAAGCAGUGGGUAUAAGAGGCUGCCCAAGCCUCUCUGUACUACUCUCAGCAGUAGCCAAGGACUGGAGGCUGGCUCGUGAAGAAUUCAUGGCAACAGAGUCAGGACUUUCAGCAAGGACCAGAGGAUGGAAGAGACAACACAGAACUAAUCUAAUGGGACAACACUGACCUAGGAGCCAGGAGCCACUCACAUGGCUCCAGUUGCUUUAUUAAAACAAGAUUAUGGCGAAUAUGGAAGCUGAGAGGCCUGUCCAUAAACAAUCUCAGUCACCUGGUUGGAAGAGGAUGUAGCUUGGAGAUAUGGAGACAGUGGGAAGUUGUCGUUUUGAUCCUGUAAGAAUUAUUUGAAGAAUAGGAGUGGGGUAUACAAUAGCAAUUCCAAGUGACUUUCCUGUGCUUCACCUGAGCUAUUAGAACAUUGAAACUGCCUUUAGUUGGAAAGAGGAAAAUCAAGAAAGAGACAGUUCUGGAGAGAAUAUCUUAAGAGCUAGGGGUUGAUGACAUUAAUGAUGUCAUUAGAUGGCCCCACAGCCAUCUAAACAGAGAUACAAGAUUCUUUGGGAGUCAAGAGAAAGGUUGGGCCUAGACAUGAAAAUUUGCUAGUUUCUAACAUGUAAAAAUAGUUAAGAAAAUGCGUAACCCAUCACUGAAGUUCAUAAUGAUGGAAAAACUUACUCAAAGUAUUCAAGUUACUCAAAAUACAGCUUACUGAUAAACAGUAUCAUAUCACCUAGGAACACAUUAGCUAUGUAAAUCCGUAGGCUUAUCUAUACCCUUGGAAUCAGAUAUUCCUUGGGUAGGGCCCUGCACAUUUGUACAGUAAGCCUUCCAGGUGUUUCCUUUGCCUACUAAAAUUUGAGAACCACUGAUAUAGAAAUUAGAGAGCAAAGAAGAAAGCCAAGGGAAAGCCCAGAGAGGAAGAAGACCAGAGGGCAUGGGGUACUGGAACUCAAGCCGACAAAACUGCAAGUAGAAGAGGCAUCCAUGCUGUGCCAUGCCCCCAAGAACUACACACAUUGUCUCCAAGGUGAGGACAUUCCGUCAUCUGUAGGUAAAGCUUCGGUGGUUGUGCAAUGGCCACAAGCCUGGUGAGCUGACUUUAAGAGAGAAGGGACAGAGGGAGAAGCAAAACUUCAAAAGCAAGUGUUCAGAGGAGCUUGGCCUCAGGGGGAAGGGGGAUGGACAGUGGCUAAAGUGGGAAAGAGUUAAGAGAGAGCUGUUUUCUCUCUCUCUCUCUCUCUCUCUCUCUCUCUCUCUCUCUCUCUC
RNA transcript from Mus caroli (Ryukyu mouse), 2248 nucleotides. RefSeq lists it as uncharacterized. Lineage: Eukaryota; Metazoa; Chordata; Mammalia; Rodentia; Muridae. The record is from RefSeq and is a predicted model, not a curated record.